CAAAUUAGUCUUUAUACAUUAGAUCAAAGAGCAAAUUAAUCCUGUUAAAAAUUCUAUCCAUGUAUACGGUUAAAAACAGGUUACUAUAUCUCAGCAUGAGUACACGGAACAUACCACAUGUCAUUAUAUGAUUAUUCUGUCAGCCAUUUCAGUUUCUAACAGUACAAAAGGAUGAAAUUUUUAACAGAAAUGAUCAAUUUGCUCUUUAGUCUAGCAUAUAGGGAUCAAUUUGU
This 233-nucleotide microRNA precursor is filed under the name Gossypium raimondii (Peruvian cotton). RNAcentral's name for it is "miR7484k stem-loop (gra-MIR7484k)". Lineage: Eukaryota; Viridiplantae; Streptophyta; Magnoliopsida; Malvales; Malvaceae. The record is from miRBase by way of RNAcentral.